This 253-nucleotide ribosomal RNA is filed under the name uncultured bacterium. RNAcentral's name for it is "partial 16S ribosomal RNA". It matches the Rfam family "Bacterial small subunit ribosomal RNA", at positions 524 to 776 of the family's 1533-position model. The record is from RNAcentral.
UACGAAGGUCCCGAGCGUUGUUCGGAAUCACUGGGCGUAAAGGGAGCGUAGGCGGCGCGGUAAGUCGGGUGUGAAAUCUCGGAGCUUAACUCCGAAACUGCAUUCGAUACUGCCGUGCUUGAGGACUGGAGAGGAGACUGGAAUUUACGGUGUAGCGGUGAAAUGCGUAGAUAUCGUAAGGAAGACCAGUGGCGAAGGCGGGUCUCUGGACAGUUCCUGACGCUGAGGCACGAAGGUCAGGGGAGCAAACGGG